Hemicordylus capensis (graceful crag lizard) is the source of this 5844-nucleotide long non-coding RNA. RefSeq lists it as uncharacterized. Lineage: Eukaryota; Metazoa; Chordata; Lepidosauria; Squamata; Cordylidae. The record is from RefSeq and is a predicted model, not a curated record. The transcript is spliced from 4 exons.
UACAAGAUGCCUCCAUCUGAUUUUUGUCAAUUUCUCCCUUCCACUGCAGAACCUAUACAUGCUCUCUGUGCUGAUGUAGAAGGUUCCCCCAACUGUCAGGAGCAGACUUUUGCUGGCACAGAAGGUUACAGUCAGGAGACGGGACAGAAAAGCACCUUAGCAUGAGUGGAGUUGCAUCAUCCUUCUCUUUAUCAAGCCUUAUGUUUAUUAUUUGUAAAUAAUGUGAAAAUUUGGCACAUACUCUGGGAUAGUCACCUUUGUCUUCCCAUAGUAGACUACACUAUCUGAGAGCAGGGAUUUUCCUAAAUCUGGGUCCCUGUUUCAUGGGUGAAGGGAACCUCUUGCCACAUGAAAAAGCCAGACUCUCCCUCGAAAGGUGCAGACUUCCUUCUGAUUCUUUCCCUUGUUCAAUUUUAAGUCCUGAGUUGACCUUGCUAUAGAAGCUUAUAGUUGGAGAGUAGGUGAGUGUCAUCCUUUAGCUAUUUAUCAUUAUGUACAGACAUGCUGCUGGUGCAUAGCCUUUGCAUUUACUGGAGGAAGUGUGAGAUACAAAUAAUAUGAUUCAAAUUCAAUGAAACCGCGGUUUGCCCCUAUUCCCAUGCUGCACUCCCAGAUGAUCCCGAUCUGGGAGCUUGGAAGAGAGGAGGAAUUGGCUGCUGCUUUCCAACUGGAGGUUUUGUGGCAAAACUGAAAAGGAACCGAGUGUCCCAAUUCAGAUUUCUGGCCGAAAAUCUUAGGUCACUUUUCUAAUAUGAGCCCCUGGUGGCGCAGUGGUAAAACUGCCGCCCUGUAACCAGAAGGUUACAAGUUCGAUCCUGACCAGGGGCUCAAGGUUGACUCAGCCUUCCAUCCUUCCGAGGUCGGUAAAAUGAGUACCCAGAAUGUUGGGGGCAAUAUGCUAAAUCAUUGUAAACUGCCUAGAGAGCUCCGGCUAUAAAGCGGUAUAUAAAUGUAAGUGCUAUUGCUAUUGCUAUUGCUAUAAUGGAACUGAGAUUCUCCGCAUCUGAAGACCACAAACCCAAACCUCAGGCAUGGUUGCCUCCAGUUUGGUGUGAUGUACAAAGGCGGCCAAUGUCUUUUAUAAUCCAGUGAACCAUCCUUACAGGCUUGCUACUGUUUUGUCCAUUUCAGCAUCUGAGGAAGUUAACUAUGAAUGUCAGGCUCUUACAAUAAAAAUGUAAGUCUUUAAGGUUCUACAAAGACCAGCAAUUUUUACAAGUAUAGUAAUUAGGAGUGAACUCAGACUCUGGUUAGCUGCCCAUGGCCAUUAAAUCAACAACAAUGGCUCAACUUGUUACCUUCUUUCCUGGUUUCUAAAAUAAAUUGAAUGUUUUGUUAUCACAGAGGGCAGAAGUCAUCACAACUCAAUUGAUUCUCAUACGUUUUAAUUAUUUCACCUGAUUUAUAAGUCAUUUUCAUUUGAAUAACCCUGCAUUUUAACGAUCUAAAAUAUUUCACAAGUUCUUGUUAAUGAUCUGUAGUAUUUGGAUCAUUAGACUGAAGAAAAGUCUAAUGCUCUUGUGUCAGAAUCUUAUCUUCUGAAUGCAUGAAAGCUCCUUCUACAGAACAGGGUAAAGGAUUACAUUACUAUUCAGUAUCCAAAAGUAAUUUUAGGUUGGAGUGCCAACUAUAAAUAAAAAUGAAACUAAUAAAAAUAAUACACAGUUCAAUACUAUGGAUCAUUACAGACUGGGCUAAAUCAGGGUCCCAUGGUGAUCAAACAAGUAAGCUUAAUAUUAGGACUAAAAAGUUGGGGUUCUUUGUUUUUUAGCAUGGCUGAGCUGCAAAUCAGGAAAUCCCUGAGCCAAAUUGCACCUCUGCCACACGGACCUAGGUUGGGACUCAUUGUCCCAACCCCUCAUCUGCAAUAUGGGGAUAAUAAUGACUAGCUUAACCCAUGCAGAGCAUCUGCACGCUAGUACUUGAUUGCUCCCCUCACCCCCUGCCACAGCCCCCCUCACCUCAAAGAUCUCUUUACCCUCACCUGAGCUGCACUCCUGCUCCUCCUAAUCCAUCUGGUUGCUUCCAUCCCCCUUACUCCUCUUGGUCACUCCUCCAUCCCUUUAUUCCAUCCCCCUCACCCCUCUUGGUUGCAGCUCCAGUGUUGCUGGUGCCUAUUGGCCAAGCUGUAGCCCCCAUCCCCAGAGACCUCCCCACCCUCAUCCAAGCCCUGCUCCUGCUCUUCCCCACAGGAGCAGCGUCAGCAGCAGCAGCAGUUGACCGGGCCCUUCCUCACUGCCACCACAGCCAUGGCCACUUGUUCUCCUCAGGCUGCUGACAGGCCCAGGCCCAUCUCUUGCUUUCCUGCCUGCCUCCCUCCACCAAUGGCCUCAGCAGCCUCAAACAGCAGCAGUGAUUGACUGGGCCCUUCCUUGCUGUCAAUAGGCACUGCCAUGUCUGCUUGUUCCCCUCAGGCCGCUGACAGGCUUGGGCCCAUCCCUCGCCCUUCCUUCUUUUUCUCUUCCCCUCCCUUCUUUUUCUCUCUUUCCUCCUCUCCUCCACACUCUCUUCCCCUCUGUCUUUCUUCCCCUUCCUUCAUCUCUCUCUCUCUCUCUCUCUCUCUCUCUUCCUGAGUUAACAGAUCUUGUUCAUCUUGUUUCCUCGUCUAAUUCACACAGUGAGAAGUCAGCCUCCUUCUCCUGAAGGGGCUCUUUCCUCCCUCACAACCCCUCUCUUUGGAGACUCCUGCCCACUAUCCUUUUAUAUAUAAGCAAAAUAUUCCUCAAAAUCACUGAAAGACCAACCCCUGAAAUCCAAUUGACAUUUUAAUAUCAGUAUAGACACAUUUAGACAGAAGCUCAGGGAUUUGGUGACCAAAAGCCCUUCUAAAGAAGAAAGAUUUCACAAGGUUCCUGGAGGACAAAAAAGAUCCAAGCAACCAGAUGGACUUGCCUUUGUGGGGAAUUUAGGACACAGCUAAUGAGAAUGCUCUUGAUCUGAGAGUAUCUUGCCACAUUUCAUUUGGAAAAGAUCUGCUGGGCAGAUCUGCUGUGAGGCAGAGCAAUUAUUUAUUUAUCAUAUUUAUAUACCACCUGAUAUGUGUAUCUCUAUGUGGUGUUUGGAUGUGAAAGAGAGAUGGCGGAGGGGGGGACCAAUCAGUCCAGGAUGCUCCAGAUCAAAUAUAUAAAAAACUGAAAAGAGGCUGCUAGUCCCCUCCCUUUCCCAUUCUCUCUCUCUCUCUCUCUCUCUCCUUCUCUCUCUCCUCCUCAGCUCUCAACCCUCCAGCAAGCAUUCAGAAUUCCUACCUCCUUAGCAUUUCUCACAGUCCACAAAACUGCAAUAGUUUAUGGUGCUCAGGGGUUGUUUGUUUUCUCUUUCAUUCUUGACGUUCUUGCAAUAAUGAUCAGUGGCCAAAAUGAGAUUGGAUAUAAUCAUAGACUAUUCUCCUGAGUUUUGUCUUGGGCUGUGGUAUUAUGACGCUUAGAAAAAGCAGUGAUGACCCAGGCAAAUGCCAUCAUGUAGAAGGUACUUUGGCUUAUCACUUUGCCUUGUAAAAUUGGAAUUCAGUGCCACAUGCUAGAGUUUUAAACUUUUCUCUCUCUGAACAAGCUGCCUCUUUAGUAUGCAAAAGCAGUACUCCAGUAGCAAGAACCUAUUUCCCCAGAACACACAUUUUGGAAAGUCACACAAGGCAAGAUCUUCAAAGUGGGAAACACACACAAUAUUCUCUACUUGUCAUGCAUGAGUUUUCCCCAUACCUGGCAUCACUGGAGCACAAUCAGUUCAAUAGAGUUUAGUAAACAGCUUCAUAAAUCACCUGAGUUCUGACAUACAUUCUGAUUCAAAGCUGAUUUAUCCCUAGGUCACUUAGAAAACAUAUCUCAGUCACUGAUAGUUGAGGAGGAGGCUAUUUGUUUGAUGCAGAUAUAUCUGUGAGAGUAAAUUCUAUGAAAACAACAAUCAUGAAUCUUCAUUUCUUAGGCCUUCAUCCCUUUUAAACUUAUUUUACCUUCUGAAUGUGCCAAAUUCCGCAAUAUGACAAGGGGAAAUGAUCAUCUCAUCAUGAGAAAAUUGUGUAAGGCUCAGAAUAGGAAAGCCAUGAAUGUGCCCGGUCUUCAACUCAGAUCUUGUGAAUGAGUGGUCUGCAGGAUUUAAACUGAGACACGGCUCACUCAAACUUAAUUCCAGGACACAUUUUCAAUUGAAUAACUUCUUCUAGGAACUUUAUAAAUAAUUGAAGACAAGCACAAGGGCUGCAGUCGGAAGGCAUAUUUUUAAAAUUAUUUAUUUAUUUAUUUAUUUAUUUAUUUAUUUGAUUUCUACCACCCUUCCAAAAAUGGCUCAGGGCAGUUUACAUUAAAAUAAAAACAAUUUAAAUCAAUUCAGUUAAAAUCAAAAACUAUAAAAACAAUAUAGCACCAAUUAACAAUUAAAACAUUUAAAACAGUUUUAAAACCUUGGAAAACCAGGCCAAACAUUUACAGUUUAAAAACAGUUUAAAAACCCUGGAAGGCCAGGCCAAAUAGAUAGGUUUUAAGGGCUCUCCAGAAGGCCAAUAAUGAAUUCAGAUUACGGAUUUCUGCAGGGAGUGCAUUCCACAGCCCAGCAUCAGCUACAGAGAAGGCCUGCCUAUGAGUCACCACCAGACAUACCAGUGGUAACUGGAGCUGGACCUCCUCAGAUGACCUUAUCGUGCUUGUGUGGAUCAUGCAGAAGAAGGUGCUCUCUAAGGAUAAAUGAGCAUUGAAGGCUGCAAAAAACUGCUCCCAUAAAAAUCCCCCAAGAUGAUGAAGUGGAAAACAAAAUCUCGUUUUCAUUAUCCCUAAGCCUUCGCAUAUUUAUUCUAUGGAGCCAAGUGGAGGAUGCUAACCAUAUACUCACUGAUCUUCUCAUGCUUGGAGGCUGAAAAACUGGACUUAUUUGGGUGAUGAGAAAGAAUGUUGCAGUCUUGAAAAACUAAAAAUUAACAAAUCGCCAGAUGCAGAUGUCAUCCACCCAAGAGUUCUGAAUUAAAUCAAAUGUGAAAUUGCUGAUCUCCUAGCAAAAAUGUGUAACUUGUCCCUAUGAUCAGGCUCUGUACCAGAGGAUUUUCAAAAGGGAAUCCAGGAGGGAUCUGGGAAACUACAGGCCAGUCAGCUUAACGUCUGUGCUGGUGCAGACUGGUUCCAGGUGAAAAGAGGACUCCAUGUAAUCCAGAGCUCUCCUGUGAAAACCAAAGUCUUUUCUGCAUCCACAGUAUAUCUUUGGAUUCAAGUCAAUGUUAGGGAUCCAAUUUAAAAUCAACAGCCUUGAGACUAAUGUACUAUUUACUGAUAUUGUUUGCUGUGUUGUUUUAAUUCAUACUUCCUGGGCUGGGUGCAGAGCAUCUGUGCCUCUAGUACUCCCGCCAGCCUGCCCCCGCCACCGUUUUCUUUCCGCAACCGCCCACCGUCGCCAUCAUUUUCUUGCCCGCCCGCCACUGCCGUUUUCUUCCCCUUUUCUCUUCUAGGGUUUUUUAUUUUUUUAUUUUAUUUUUACAUUUCUAUACCGCCUUUCGUUAAAAGAAAACCCCAAGGCGGUUGCCCCGGGACUCUGGAACACAUUCCCAAAUGAUAUCAGAAUCUCCCCCAUCUCUGGUUGUUUUUAACCAGCUUUUGAAAAUACAUCUGUUUCAUCAGGCUUUUAGUUUAUGAUGUUUUAAAGUGUUAAUGUUUGUUUUAUGAUAAUUUUAAUCUGGUGUUUUAUAUCAUUUUUAGAUUUUAGUUGGUGUUUGUUUAAAUUGUAAACCACCUUGUGAGUCUACAUAGGGCUGUAUAUAGACAAAUUAAAAAUUAAAUUAAUGUGCUAUAGCUACAUUGGUGCUAGAGAUAGCAAUAUGGUAGUUCUACUCAUUGUGAUAAUGGUAAAAUAUUCUGCCACAACAUA